This 309-nucleotide ribosomal RNA is filed under the name uncultured bacterium. Its description in RNAcentral is "partial 16S ribosomal RNA". It matches the Rfam family "Bacterial small subunit ribosomal RNA", at positions 504 to 809 of the family's 1533-position model. The record is from RNAcentral.
AGAGACAGCAGUAGCCACGGGAAUACGGAGGAUCCGAGCGUUAUCCGGAUUUAUUGGGUUUAAAGGGUGCGUAGGCGGCCUUGUAAGUCAGGGGUGAAAGACGGUAGCUUAACUAUCGCAGUGCCCUUGAUACUGCAGGGCUUGAAUGUACUUGAGGUAGGCGGAAUGUGACAAGUAGCGGUGAAAUGCAUAGAUAUGUCACAGAACACCAAUUGCGAAGGCAGCUUACUAAAGUAUGAUUGACGCUGAGGCACGAAAGCGUGGGGAGCAAACAGGAUUAGAUACCCGCGUAGUCCCUGUCUCUUAUAU